AGAACGAACGCUGGCGGCAGGCUUAACACAUGCAAGUCGAACGCCCCGCAAGGGGAGUGGCAGACGGGUGAGUAACGCGUGGGAACAUACCCCUCGGUUCGGAAUAGCUCAGGGAAACUUGGAUUAAUACCGAAUACGGUCGAGAGGCGAAAGAUUUAUCGCCGAGGGAUUGGCCCGCGUCCGAUUAGCUAGUUGGUGAGGUAAUGGCUCACCAAGGCGACGAUCGGUAGCUGGUCUGAGAGGAUGAUCAGCCACAUUGGGACUGAGACACGGCCCAAACUCCUACGGGAGGCAGCAGUGGGGAAUAUUGGACAAUGGGCGAAAGCCUGAUCCAGCCAUGCCGCGUGAGUGAUGACGGCCUUAGGGUUGUAAAGCUCUUUCAUCAGGGACGAUAAUGACGGUACCUGAAGAAGAGCCCGGCUAACUUCGUGCCAGCAGCCGC
RNAcentral lists this ribosomal RNA (442 nucleotides) under uncultured bacterium. RNAcentral's name for it is "SSU rRNA". It matches the Rfam family "Bacterial small subunit ribosomal RNA", at positions 26 to 518 of the family's 1533-position model. The record is from RNAcentral.